RNAcentral lists this ribosomal RNA (1372 nucleotides) under Klebsiella pneumoniae. RNAcentral's name for it is "bacterial LSU rRNA". It matches the Rfam family "Bacterial large subunit ribosomal RNA", at positions 1576 to 2925 of the family's 2925-position model. Lineage: Bacteria; Pseudomonadati; Pseudomonadota; Gammaproteobacteria; Enterobacterales; Enterobacteriaceae. The record is from RNAcentral.
ACUACGGUGCUGAAGUAACAAAUGCCCUGCUUCCAGGAAAAGCCUCUAAGCAUCAGGUAACAUCAAAUCGUACCCCAAACCGACACAGGUGGUCAGGUAGAGAAUACCAAGGCGCUUGAGAGAACUCGGGUGAAGGAACUAGGCAAAAUGGUGCCGUAACUUCGGGAGAAGGCACGCUGGUGUGUAGGUGAAGUCCCUGCGGAUGGAGCUGAGACCAGUCGAAGAUACCAGCUGGCUGCAACUGUUUAUUAAAAACACAGCACUGUGCAAACACGAAAGUGGACGUAUACGGUGUGACGCCUGCCCGGUGCCGGAAGGUUAAUUGAUGGGGUUAUCCGUAAGGAGAAGCUCUUGAUCGAAGCCCCGGUAAACGGCGGCCGUAACUAUAACGGUCCUAAGGUAGCGAAAUUCCUUGUCGGGUAAGUUCCGACCUGCACGAAUGGCGUAAUGAUGGCCAGGCUGUCUCCACCCGAGACUCAGUGAAAUUGAACUCGCUGUGAAGAUGCAGUGUACCCGCGGCAAGACGGAAAGACCCCGUGAACCUUUACUAUAGCUUGACACUGAACAUUGAGCCUUGAUGUGUAGGAUAGGUGGGAGGCUUUGAAGCGUGGACGCCAGUCUGCGUGGAGCCAACCUUGAAAUACCACCCUUUAAUGUUUGAUGUUCUAACGUUGGCCCCUUAUCGGGGUUGCGGACAGUGUCUGGUGGGUAGUUUGACUGGGGCGGUCUCCUCCCAAAGCGUAACGGAGGAGCACGAAGGUUAGCUAAUCCUGGUCGGACAUCAGGAGGUUAGUGCAAUGGCAUAAGCUAGCUUGACUGCGAGCGUGACGGCGCGAGCAGGUGCGAAAGCAGGUCAUAGUGAUCCGGUGGUUCUGAAUGGAAGGGCCAUCGCUCAACGGAUAAAAGGUACUCCGGGGAUAACAGGCUGAUACCGCCCAAGAGUUCAUAUCGACGGCGGUGUUUGGCACCUCGAUGUCGGCUCAUCACAUCCUGGGGCUGAAGUAGGUCCCAAGGGUAUGGCUGUUCGCCAUUUAAAGUGGUACGCGAGCUGGGUUUAGAACGUCGUGAGACAGUUCGGUCCCUAUCUGCCGUGGGCGCUGGAGAAUUGAGGGGGGCUGCUCCUAGUACGAGAGGACCGGAGUGGACGCAUCACUGGUGUUCGGGUUGUCAUGCCAAUGGCACUGCCCGGUAGCUAAAUGCGGAAGAGAUAAGUGCUGAAAGCAUCUAAGCACGAAACUUGCCCCGAGAUGAGUUCUCCCUGAGACUUUAAGUCUCCUGAAGGAACGUUGAAGACGACGACGUUGAUAGGCCGGGUGUGUAAGCGCAGCGAUGCGUUGAGCUAACCGGUACUAAUGAACCGUGAGGCUUAACC